GUGGGGAAUAUUGGACAAUGGGCGCAAGCCUGAUCCAGCCAUGCCGCGUGAGUGAUGAAGGCCUUCGGGUUGUAAACUGCUUUUGUACGGAACGAAACGGCUCUGGUUAAUACCCGGGGCUAAUGACGGUACCGUAAGAAUAAGCACCGGCUAACUACGUGCCAGCAGCCGCGGUAAUACGUAGGGUGCAAGCGUUAAUCGGAAUUACUGGGCGUAAAGCGUGCGCAGGCGGUUGUGUAAGACAGGCGUGAAAUCCCCGGGCUCAACCUGGGAAUUGCGCUUGUGACUGCACAGCUGGAGUGCGGCAGAGGGGGAUGGAAUUCCGCGUGUAGCAGUGAAAUGCGUAGAUAUGCGGAGGAACACCGAUGGCGAAGGCAAUCCCCUGGGCCUGCACUGACGCUCAUGCACGAAAGCGUGGGGAGCAAACAGGAUUAGAAACCCCAGUAGUCC
Molecule: ribosomal RNA, 450 nt
Filed under: uncultured bacterium
Lineage: Bacteria
Description: partial 16S ribosomal RNA
Rfam family: Bacterial small subunit ribosomal RNA
Source: RNAcentral